UAAUACAGAGGGUGCGAGCGUUAAUCGGAUUUACUGGGCGUAAAGGGUGCGUAGGCGGAUGUAUGAGUGUGAUGUGAAAGCCCCGGGCUUAACCUGGGAAGCGCAUCGCAAACGAUAUAUCUGGAGUAGAUGAGAGGGUGGCGGAAUUUCCGGUGUAGCGGUGAAAUGCGUAGAGAUCGGAAGGAACGUCGAUGGCGAAGGCAGCCACCUGGCAUCAUACUGACGCUGAAGCACGAAAGCGUGGGUAGCGAACAGGAUUAGAUACCCUGGUAGUCCACGCUGUAAACGAUGAGAACUAAAUGUUAGUAGGGGAACCUAUUAGUAUUGAAGCUAACGCGAUAAGUUCUCCGCCUGGGAAGUACGGCCGCAAGGUUG
RNAcentral lists this ribosomal RNA (375 nucleotides) under uncultured bacterium. Its description in RNAcentral is "bacterial SSU rRNA". It matches the Rfam family "Bacterial small subunit ribosomal RNA", at positions 521 to 896 of the family's 1533-position model. The record is from RNAcentral.